This is a long non-coding RNA of Pelmatolapia mariae (spotted tilapia), 741 nucleotides long. RefSeq lists it as uncharacterized. The transcript has 5 exons. The record is from RefSeq and is a predicted model, not a curated record. NCBI's taxonomy places the organism in Eukaryota, Metazoa, Chordata, Actinopteri, Cichliformes, Cichlidae.
UAGGCAUUCAUUUUGAUGGUAAGAUAUGAAAACGUGUGUGUGUGUGUGUGUGUGUGUGUGUGGCAGUGGCUUCUGCUGAACUAGAAAGAAAAAAACUGGGAGGAGACGGUUUCAUCGCAGCCAGCGGAGGCUGUGGAUCAACGCAUGAUGAACGACCUUCGAAGCAACCGGAGCCAACGAGAGGAGAAGACGAAAGAGACCGCCCUUUGAGCUUAAAGGGGGCUCCUGAUUGGAUAGUCUGUCCUCAAACUCAGUCAGUAAGAGCUCCCCAGCUGUGAGAUCAGGGUCCAUGUGCUCGCAUGCCCGUCUCCAUUUGACCCGGCCCACGCCGUCUUCGGGGCAGCGUUUGCUUUUCCCGUGUCUUCCUGAGGACUCUUCUGUUGUGGGUUGAUCGGCCUCAGCCACCGAAUCUUCCAGUUACCAGUGUUGGGAAAAUUACUUCGAAAAAGUUCCUGGUAGGCGGAGUCAGUGACGACCUCUGGAGGUCAGAGGUCAUGGAGUCCAGGUGAUGACCUGGAUGGCGGUCUGAGUGGCCCGCCGGAUGUCCUGGUCCUCCUCCGCAGCCUCAGCCUUCUUCUCCAGCAGGGGGAGCUGCUCCAGGAGGAGGCAGCGGCCGUUAGGAGCCUCAGCCAAUGAGCAGACCGACGAGGACAGGAAGGACCUCGGCAUCCUCGCAGACCUGUCGCUUCCCGUCCAUGGGAACGCUGUAACCAGCAGACAAACAGUCGGUUAAACCAGCAC